Psychroflexus torquis ATCC 700755 is the source of this 28-nucleotide non-coding RNA. The record is from Rfam. Lineage: Bacteria; Pseudomonadati; Bacteroidota; Flavobacteriia; Flavobacteriales; Flavobacteriaceae.
CAACCUCUGACGAAAUGCGUGAAUGUUG